UACGUAGGGUGCAAGCGUUAAUCGGAAUCACUGGGCGUAAAGGGAGCGUAGGCGGCGUGGUAAGUCAGAUGUGAAAUCCCGGGGCUCAACCCCGGAACUGCAUCCGAUACUGCCGUGCUUGAGGGUUGGAGAGGUAGCUGGAAUUAUCGGUGUAGCAGUGAAAUGCGUGGAUAUCGAUAGGAACACCGGUGGCGAAGGCGGCAUCCUGGACCGGCAUUGACGCUGAGGCGCGAAAGCCAGGGGAGCAAACGGG
This 253-nucleotide ribosomal RNA is filed under the name uncultured bacterium. RNAcentral's name for it is "partial 16S ribosomal RNA". It matches the Rfam family "Bacterial small subunit ribosomal RNA", at positions 524 to 776 of the family's 1533-position model. The record is from RNAcentral.